Molecule: ribosomal RNA, 228 nt
Filed under: uncultured bacterium
Lineage: Bacteria
Description: partial 16S ribosomal RNA
Rfam family: Bacterial small subunit ribosomal RNA
Source: RNAcentral
CCCCAAAAACGUAGUCCCAGUUCGGACUGCAGUCUGCAACUCGACUGCACGAAGUCGGAAUUGCUAGUAAUCGCGGAUCAGCAUGCCGCGGUGAAUACGUUCCCGGGCCUUGUACACACCGCCCGUCACACCAUGAGAGUCGGGAACACCCGAAGUCGGUAGUCUAACCUCGUGAGGACGCCGCCGAAGGUAGGCUUGAUAAUUGGGGUGAAGUCGUAACAAGGUAAC